This 253-nucleotide ribosomal RNA is filed under the name uncultured bacterium. RNAcentral describes it as "partial 16S ribosomal RNA". It matches the Rfam family "Bacterial small subunit ribosomal RNA", at positions 524 to 776 of the family's 1533-position model. The record is from RNAcentral.
UACGAAGGUGGCAAGCGUUGUUCGGAUUUACUGGGCGUACAGGGAGCGUAGGCGGUUGGAUAAGCCCUCCGUGAAAUCUCCAGGCUUAACCUGGAAAGUGCAGAGGGGACUGUUCAGCUAGAGGAUGGGAGAGGAGCGCGGAAUUCCCGGUGUAGCGGUGAAAUGCGUAGAGAUCGGGAGGAAGGCCGGUGGCGAAGGCGGCGCUCUGGAACAUUCCUGACGCUGAGGCUCGAAAGCGUGGGGAGCAAACAGG